CCUAACACAUGCAAGUCGAGCGGAUGAAGAGAGCUUGCUCUCUGAUUUAGCGGCGGACGGGUGAGUAAUGCCUAGGAAUCUGCCUGAUAGUGGGGGACAACGUUUCGAAAGGAACGCUAAUACCGCAUACGUCCUACGGGAGAAAGCAGGGGACCUUCGGGCCUUGCGCUAUCAGAUGAGCCUAGGUCGGAUUAGCUAGUUGGUGAGGUAAUGGCUCACCAAGGCGACGAUCCGUAACUGGUCUGAGAGGAUGAUCAGUCACACUGGAACUGAGACACGGUCCAGACUCCUACGGGAGGCAGCAGUGGGGAAUAUUGGACAAUGGGCGAAAGCCUGAUCCAGCCAUGCCGCGUGUGUGAAGAAGGUCUUCGGAUUGUAAAGCACUUUAAGUUGGGAGGAAGGGCAUUAACCUAAUACGUUAGUGUUUUGACGUUACCGACAGAAUAAGCACCGGCUAACUUCG
Molecule: ribosomal RNA, 463 nt
Filed under: marine sediment bacterium ISA-2681
Lineage: Bacteria
Description: bacterial SSU rRNA
Rfam family: Bacterial small subunit ribosomal RNA
Source: RNAcentral